CAAGGAAUGGACUAUAGAGUAUGGAGUUUUACGCAUGCUAAUGUACGCCUCUGUUCUACCGUUAUAUAUGCAUGAACCCACUCUCCAUCUUCACCAAAGCCGGUGGUGGGUCACUUGUGAACCAGGAUAUUUGCAUACCAUUUCUCCUUUCUUUCCUCCUUUCUUUUCUUCAAACACAGAGAGAUAUGGAGAUUGAUAAGGAAAUGAGACAAUCCAAAUUCAAGAGAAUUUGUGUGUUUUGUGGUAGUAGUCCUGGAAAGAAAAGUAGCUAUAAGGAUGCUGCUAUUGAGCUUGGAAAAGAAUUGGUUAGCUCUGCUUGUAACUUCAUCUUGGAAACUGCUUUCACUUUCCAAGUUCUGCUUUCUUUUUUCAGCUUCUUAAACUAUUUCUCUGUGUUUUUGAUUUCCCCUUUUGCUUCUCCUUUGUAAUUACUUUAUAUAGAGCUUGCUUUCUUGUUUUGAUUUCCUACUCUGGUUUGGUUCCCCUGUUGUUUCUCUGUUAUAGUUUCUUGUUUUCUUGUGCUUUCUUCUUUUUACCUUUUCAAUUCUUGCUUAGAAAAUCAAAUAAAAUAAAUGUGUUCAGUAAUUCUUAUUGCUUUUCCUUGAUGGGUUUUCAAGAACUUCUAGUAAUGUUUGAUGAAGAUAAUAAAUAAAUUUGUCUGCUUUGGCUUCUUGUACCUUACUUGGGUUUUAAGACUUCUCUCUUUUUGUUGGAGCCGCAUUUUACACAUUAGUCCAUUUUAGAUCAUUUAAUAGCUCUAUAUUUUAUAUUCUUUAUUGAAUCAGCAUUGGAAAAACUAGUUCUUUCUUUUCUUUAAUUAUUAUUUGUAUUUUAUUAAAAUACAACAACCAAAAUGUACUUCAAUGGGCACUUCACUAUGCACUCGUUGAUAUUUUUCUUUUGACAUUUUUUUCCUCUUUUUUCUUCUUUUUCAGGUAGCAAAAAAUAUUGAUCUGGUUUAUGGAGGAGGGAGUAUUGGUUUGAUGGGGUUGAUUUCUCAAGCUGUUUAUAAUGGUGGCCGCCAUGUGAUAGGGUGAAGCUUCUAACCCUAUUCCAUGGGUUCUUUCCUCUUCUUCUUCUUUCUUUCCUCUAUAUACAGGAAGAUACAGAAAUUGACAAUAGAAUUUUUUUGCCUGCAGAGUUAUCCCCAAGACACUCAUGCCUAGAGAGAUAACUGGUGAAACAGUGGGUGAAGUGAAGCCAGUUGCUGAUAUGCACCAAAGGAAAGCAGAGAUGGCUAGACAUUCUGAUGCAUUCAUUGCCUUACCUGGUCUGCUUAACACCUCCAAAUUUUUAUUAUUUUAAAUCUUUUGUGUUUGUUUCAUUGUUUGUGUCAGAAAUGAUUAAGAGUUUAUAAAAAUGGCAUAAGUUGACCAAAGAAACAAGGCCAAUUUUUUCUCAAGCCUUGAACUGCUCGACCUCCACAGAAAGCAAGCAAAGACCCAUGAUUAGAGAGCAUUUUCUAAGCUUGAAAACCUCUAGUCACUGACGCUAUUCCUCCAUUAUUAUGUUCAGCUGCUGACACUGAAAAUUAGGCUUUUUGUUUGAGCCUUUACUUUCUGUGGUUAAUAGGCUUUCCAUGUGAUGAUAUAACUGUACCUCCUCACCCUCAAAUUCACCCACUAAGGAACAAGCUGCAAAAUAAUUGUGAACUCUUCUUGCAAAUGGUCCUUUUGAGAAGGAAAAGGACUAUAGCAUGCAAAUGAUUACAGUUUUCUACCUUCAAUUUUGGGAAGGAAAAGUUAGCCUUGUUUGGUCUUGUUGGUCCUUAUGUGGUACUAGUUUUUGGUACUAAAAGAGGCUGACCAAACUGUAGGACAUCAUUUAUGGGCUAAGUCCAUAUUGCUACAUUGAUUGAAGCUUCAUGGCUUAAAACAAAUGAUACCCAUUAAUGUUUCUUUUUCAGAAUUCCCAUGUGAUCCCAAGAACAAUCUCUCAAAAACUUACAUAAUUGUCUCUAUUAGCCUUAAAAAAUGUACAAGUUUGUUCUCUUGGAAGUAUAAUUGAUUCAAAUUUUUUCUUGGGAUUUCUUUGAAGGUGGCUAUGGGACCCUUGAGGAGCUUCUUGAAGUGAUAACUUGGGCCCAACUUGGUAUCCAUGACAAACCGGUGGGAUUGCUGAAUGUGGAUGGUUACUACAACUCUUUAUUGUCAUUUAUUGACAAAGCAGUAGAGGAAGGCUUCAUUAGUCCAAGUGCUCGACAUAUCACAGUGUCUGCCCCUAACCCAAAAGAGUUAGUCAAGAAAAUGGAGGAGUAUUUUCCAAGGCAUGAAAUAGUUGCCUCAAAGGUCAGUUGGGAGAAUGAACAAUUAGGAUACUCUGAAGAGAUUUGAGACAUUGAAAAGGAAGAGCCCAAAGAAAAUAGGCACUUUGGCAUUGAAAUGGGCUAUAAUUUUACAUGACCAAACGUUUUCAAAGUGGGUUUUUUUUAGCCCCU
Molecule: unclassified non-coding RNA, 2437 nt
Filed under: Hevea brasiliensis (rubber tree)
Lineage: Eukaryota; Viridiplantae; Streptophyta; Magnoliopsida; Malpighiales; Euphorbiaceae
Source: RNAcentral